GACGAACGCUGGCGGCGUGCUUAACACAUGCAAGUCGAGCGGUAAGGCCCUUUCGGGGGUACACGAGCGGCGAACGGGUGAGUAACACGUGGGUGACCUGCCCUCAGCUCUGGGAUAAGCCUGGGAAACCGGGUCUAAUACUGGAUAUGACUCCAUGACGCAUGUUGUGGGGUGGAAAGCCUUGUGCGGCUGAGGAUGGGCCCGCGGCCUAUCAGCUUGUUGGUGGGGUGANGGCCUACCAAGGCGACGACGGGUAGCCGGCCUGAGAGGGCGACCGGCCACACUGGGACUGAGACACGGCCCAGACUCCUACGGGAGGCAGCAGUGGGGAAUCUUGCGCAAUGGGCGAAGGCCUGACGCAGCGACGCCGCGUGAGGGAUGACGGCCUGG
RNAcentral lists this ribosomal RNA (390 nucleotides) under uncultured bacterium. Its description in RNAcentral is "bacterial SSU rRNA". It matches the Rfam family "Bacterial small subunit ribosomal RNA", at positions 28 to 419 of the family's 1533-position model. The record is from RNAcentral.